Molecule: unclassified non-coding RNA, 449 nt
Filed under: Gamochaeta deserticola
Lineage: Eukaryota; Viridiplantae; Streptophyta; Magnoliopsida; Asterales; Asteraceae
Description: partial external transcribed spacer
Source: RNAcentral
GCUGCUUGCCUUGCGUUUGAGCUUGGUGGGUGGUUGUUAGUUGGGUGAUUUCGGGAAUGUCUACCGUAAAGGUGCAUGAGUGGUGUUUGGUUUGUUACGGGUGGUUGGCUCUUUGCUUGCGCAACAACUUCCACCUGGCAUACCUCUUCAGUCUUGUGUCAAUGCUUGUAUCGCAUUGAAGGCAUAGUGGGUUUCCUGUGUUGCAUGCCUAAUGAUGGUAUCAUUUGAAGAAUUGAUGUCCAUUUUCGUCUUGUGUUGCACAUGGGAUGUGAGAUGAACCUUGAAGCAGCCUUUGUGUUCCACUCUUUCGAUGCACACAUAGAUUUUGUGGCCCACUAAGUGUUGCUUGGUCUCAUGGAUAUGGAACCUAGUGUGGGCAUGGGAUCUUUACUAGUUCCUUGUUUGCCCUAGUUUAGCUUUUCUAAUCGAUUGUCUAGCUAUAUCGAAUA